This 173-nucleotide unclassified non-coding RNA is filed under the name uncultured fungus. RNAcentral's name for it is "sequence contains ITS1". The record is from RNAcentral. Lineage: Eukaryota; Fungi.
UUGUUUCGAUUUACUCGUAAACUCCGACGCAAAUGAUGCAGUGUUUUGAUGGUCCUCCGGGGGCGCCCGGCAGGGUCGCCCCCGAAGCAACGGGAUGUGUUCACAAAGGGUUGGAGGUCGGACCCGGAGGCCCUAACUCGGUAAUGAUCCCUCCGCAGGUUCACCUACGGAGA